RNAcentral lists this ribosomal RNA (774 nucleotides) under Stenotrophomonas maltophilia. Its description in RNAcentral is "bacterial SSU rRNA". It matches the Rfam family "Bacterial small subunit ribosomal RNA", at positions 35 to 801 of the family's 1533-position model. The record is from RNAcentral. Lineage: Bacteria; Pseudomonadati; Pseudomonadota; Gammaproteobacteria; Lysobacterales; Lysobacteraceae.
GCAAACGGUAGGCUACACAUGCAGUCGACGGCAGCACAGGAGAGCUUGCUCUCUGGGUGGCGAGUGGCGGACGGGUGAGGAAUACAUCGGAAUCUACUUUUUCGUGGGGGAUAACGUAGGGAAACUUACGCUAAUACCGCAUACGACCUACGGGUGAAAGCAGGGGACCUUCGGGCCUUGCGCGAUUGAAUGAGCCGAUGUCGGAUUAGCUAGUUGGCGGGGUAAAGGCCCACCAAGGCGACGAUCCGUAGCUGGUCUGAGAGGAUGAUCAGCCACACUGGAACUGAGACACGGUCCAGACUCCUACGGGAGGCAGCAGUGGGGAAUAUUGGACAAUGGGCGCAAGCCUGAUCCAGCCAUACCGCGUGGGUGAAGAAGGCCUUCGGGUUGUAAAGCCCUUUUGUUGGGAAAGAAAUCCAGCUGGCUAAUACCCGGUUGGGAUGACGGUACCCAAAGAAUAAGCACCGGCUAACUUCGUGCCAGCAGCCGCGGUAAUACGAAGGGUGCAAGCGUUACUCGGAAUUACUGGGCGUAAAGCGUGCGUAGGUGGUCGUUUAAGUCCGUUGUGAAAGCCCUGGGCUCAACCUGGGAACUGCAGUGGAUACUGGGCGACUAGAAUGUGGUAGAGGGUAGCGGAAUUCCUGGUGUAGCAGUGAAAUGCGUAGAGAUCAGGAGGAACAUCCAUGGCGAAGGCAGCUACCUGGACCAACAUUGACACUGAGGCACGAAAGCGUGGGGGAGCAAACAGGAUUAGAUACCCUGGUAGUCCACGCC